RNAcentral lists this ribosomal RNA (450 nucleotides) under uncultured bacterium. Its description in RNAcentral is "partial 16S ribosomal RNA". It matches the Rfam family "Bacterial small subunit ribosomal RNA", at positions 354 to 796 of the family's 1533-position model. The record is from RNAcentral.
GUGGGGAAUCUUCCGCAAUGGACGAAAGUCUGACGGAGCAACGCCGCGUGAGUGAAGAAGGUUUUCGGAUCGUAAAGCUCUUUCGUUAGGGACGAACGUGCUCUUUGUAAAUAAUGAGGAGUAAUGACGGUACCUAAAUAAGAAGCCACGGCUAACUACGUGCCAGCAGCCGCGGUAAUACGUAGGUGGCAAGCGUUGUCCGGAAUUAUUGGGCGUAAAGCGCGCGCAGGCGGGAUAUCAAGUCUGUCUUAAAAGUGCGAGGCUCAACCUCGUGAGGGGACAGAAACUGGUAUUCUUGAGUGUCGGAGAGGAAAGUGGAAUUCCAAGUGUAGCGGUGAAAUGCGUAGAGAUUUGGAAGAACACCAGUGGCGAAGGCGACUUUCUGGACGAUGUCUGACGCUGAGGCGCGAAAGCUAGGGGAGCGAACGGGAUUAGAUACCCCAGUAGUCC